RNAcentral lists this long non-coding RNA (523 nucleotides) under Actinidia chinensis (golden kiwifruit). RNAcentral describes it as "long non-coding RNA (ACHI_LNC005707)". Lineage: Eukaryota; Viridiplantae; Streptophyta; Magnoliopsida; Ericales; Actinidiaceae. The record is from RNAcentral.
CUUUUUUGAAGCUAAUAACUUAAACUAUUCCCACUUCAAGGACAUUUCUAUAGUCCUAUGCAUGACCUAUAAUUCCACUCCUUUCCAAAAUUUAAAAUGACACACUAUGCGGAGAAAACCUUUUCACAUGGCAUCACACCAUUGUUUCCCCUUUUGCUGAUGUCACAUAAAUAACUAGCCAUAGUUACUUUACAAAUCUGAGGGUGAGGCUUGGUGCAAUGGUUGCUCCAUUGUGACUUGAAGGUAGGUAUAAGACUGUGUACAUCUAACCCUCUCCAGACCUCGCAAUGGCGAGAGCCUCGUGCACUGUGCAAGCCCUUGUAUUUGCAUUACAAAUAUUUCAUCUUGGUGCAACAUGAUCAUAUCACGAUGCGUGUCUCUAUCUAUGUGCAUGACAUCAUACGUAUCUAAUGAGUGUGCAUACUGAAUGAGGAGAAGAAUCAUGGAGGCAAUGAAAUCUAAAUAGUGGUACAUAUGGUUGUCUCUUGUGGAAUUUGAGUGGUAAUAGUAGAGGCCAUUCUCA